AGGAGAGAAAGCCCCCUUGGAAGUCAUUCAUAACCAGUCAAUGAUACAAUAUAAGAAGAAUGGGGGAUCUGGGUUUGAUAGCAAACGUAUCUUUGGAAUGGCUGACUGCAAGGUCUAUCCCAGAGAGGCAACAUGAUUCGACAGACAACCUGGAUCCCCUAACCCAGAAAACUUCAAGGAGCCAGAAAGCAUUUGACAGUCUGGUUCUGGUGGUGAGAGAAUGGAAGAAAUGGAAGUGGCGUUUCCAAGGGAAAGUUCAAAUCCCUGAGGGAAGGUAUGUGAUUGCUUCAGCCGAGCACUGGCACAUCUGUUUAGGAAGAACCUUUCGUGCAGGCCCAUCUCAUCUGCUGGCAAGCUGGAGAUGGGCCACCUGGAAUGCGGGGACCAUUCUUAGUUCAGCCAGGACAGGAUGGAGCUGCUAAUCCGCAACAUGCUAUCUGGGCAACUUCCCUGACUGAGAAACCAGUGAAGAGAUUGAGGCCUCAUAUCUGGUUCAUUUGGAGCAGACCCUCAGUAUUGUGGGAUCUUAGAGCAUAAGGGCAAAGAAAAUCAUAAAGAAAGUUCCCACCAGAUUUUGAAGAACCUCGGUUUCAUCAUCUGCAAGACGGUAAUCAUACCAAUCCUAUCAUUCAUCACCUGACUGAUGU
This is a non-coding RNA of Odocoileus virginianus texanus, 647 nucleotides long. Lineage: Eukaryota; Metazoa; Chordata; Mammalia; Artiodactyla; Cervidae. The record is from RefSeq and is a predicted model, not a curated record.